GAUGAACGCUAGCGGCAGGCUUAACACAUGCAAGUCGAGGGGCAGCACGGGUAGCAAUACCUGGUGGCGACCGGCGCAAGGGUGCGUAACGCGUGAGCAACAUGCCCUAUACAGGGGGAUAAUCCAGGGAAACUUGGUCUAAUAUCCCAUAGUAUUUAGAGGAGGCAUCUUCUAUAAAUUAAAGCUUCGGUGGUAUAGGAUUGGCUCGCGUGACAUUAGCUAGAUGGUGAGGUAACGGCUCACCAUGGCAAUGAUGUCUAGGGGUUCUGAGAGGAAGGCCCCCCACACUGGGACUGAGACACGGCCCAGACUCCUACGGGAGGCAGGCAGUGAGGAAUAUUGGACAAUGGAUGGAAAUCUGAUCCAGCCAUGCCGCGUGCAGGAAGACAGCCCUAUGGGUUGUAAACUGCUUUUAUAUGGGAGCAAUAAGGUCUACGUGUAGACUGAUGAGAGUACCAUAUGAAUAAGC
Molecule: ribosomal RNA, 469 nt
Filed under: uncultured bacterium
Lineage: Bacteria
Description: bacterial SSU rRNA
Rfam family: Bacterial small subunit ribosomal RNA
Source: RNAcentral